Molecule: long non-coding RNA, 2128 nt
Organism: Heterocephalus glaber (naked mole-rat)
Lineage: Eukaryota; Metazoa; Chordata; Mammalia; Rodentia; Bathyergidae
Source: Ensembl
GAAAAAUCAACACUGCAACGGGAGUCUAGAUGGGCUGGGAAGGAAAAUCACAUGAGACUUCGUUGGUGUCCUGGGAGGACAGGAUGAGCACUUCCACCCUCGAGUGCAUUUGUAUUUCAGGACUUCCAGUUGAGUGGUGUCCACAGCAGGUCACUGAGAUGUGAGCGUGGAGAGAGGAGCCUGCAUGACCAGACUAGAACUCAGGGAGCUGGCGCUUCUCAAAUUCCUGUUGAUCCAAAGCAAAUUCACCUCAGAAGGGGAGAGCGCACUUACUGCCAAGAGAAGACUGUGACUCACACCUCGAAUAGACCGUCUUUCUUUUUGCAAGGAGGAGGCCCGGAAGGAUGUCUCACUGGGAUCUCGGGGAGCACAUGAGACAGCAGAGGCACCCAGGAAGAGGUGGGAGAGUGGUGAAGUAAGACCAAUGAGAAGUACAUCGUAAUUCACUAUAGCAAAUGUUAACCAUUUCUGGAAAAGGGAAGUCCUGCCAACUAACUACUGGUGCAGCUGUUAAGCUGGGUUGGUGGAGGCCUGUAGCUGCUGCAAGAGUGAAGAUUUCCAGCACGCUGUGAUGUUUCACUUUAACAACCGCAGGAGGAGGAUGUGAUGUUAUCUCCAUUGAUGGAGACACUUUGGAGACAUGGAGAGGUUAAGAAACUUUCUCGAGGUCAUGCAGUAGGAGGUGGCAGCCCAGGGUUCAGCUUCAGUCCAACUGCCUUUUCACCAGUGUUCCUGCUUUGCUUCCCCAGAUGCGCAGCUGACCCUCUUAUCUCAGCUGACAUGGUUAAAAGUGAGAAUGGAUGGAUCCCGUGCAGGGAAGGCCCGUGACAUCAAACCCAACCCUCGCCCUCAAAGUGGAAUAAUCCGUACUCUCCAAAGGAGUCUCUGAUGGUGAUUUGAUCCGGACCUCACGGAUCCACACUUUGGCUUUUUAUCUGUUGUGUCCUCAUUUCUCAAACUUGGAAAUUUCCAUGCAAACAGAGCUGCAGAAGGAAAAAAAUGUGUUCCAGUUUGCCAGUAGAAAUACAAUGCAAGACACAUGAGUAAUCAUGUAUCUUCCAGGAGCUGUGCAUUAGAACUGUAAUAAGAAACAGGUGCUGUUUUAAAAAUACAUUUAAUUUAGCCCAGUAUGUCACAAAAAUACUAUAAGUUGAACAAGUACGUGUGUACAGUGUGUGUGUGUGUGUGUGUGUGUGUGUAUAAGCCUCUGUUCUCCUGUAGUAACCUCUGGAAAGACAACUUUAGGCCACUGGAUUUUGAAGAGGCGACUAACAAAUGACACCACUCUGGACUUCACUCCCGGCUCUGCUCUGCCACUUACUAGGUAGCCAACAUGGUACAAAAUAUUAAUUGCUUGCAAUUGGAACUAUGUUGUUUCAAAUGUGUACCUAGAAGCUGUAGAUGUGCAUCAGAGGUGGGGCUUUUGGAGAGGAAAGGUUCUUCCACCUGGCUCCAAGCUUUCCAUUCUGCUUCAGCCAGAGAAAAUCUUUAUCAGAUUUAGAUAACCUUCGUUUUGAGGAAAAAGAUUCAUACUUAAAAUUAAUUUGCAGUUUACUCUAAUAGGCAGUGUAGGACUAAACUGUAUGCCUAAUUAUGAAAAACGAUUUAUGUGUUAGGGCUAUGUUGUUUUAUGACGUAGGGCACUGGGAGACUUGGUCACUUCCGGAAAGGUCAUUACUUACUUUGGAAAUGAGGGGAACAUGUUACACUAUCAUGGAUGUGGCGAAGCAAGUCCUGCACACAUCAUACCGGUGAAUUUCCUGUCGGACCCUCUGUGUUCCACAAGCCAGAACACUGACAAUCUUAUACUCUGCUUAUCCGGUGGAGAUGCCCAGGUGCGCACAGGCAGCCCCACAGUGGUGUCAGGAAGGGAGGCCCUGUCCUGAGAGCUCCAAACACAGAGUGGGUUGGGAGAGGGCCGCCCUCUGGGAGGGCCCGCACAGUCUCAACCAGAUGAAGUGCGCUUCGUAACAUUUCAGGUCAUGUGAAACCCAAGGAAAUAAAAGAAACCACGACAAACACAAAAGCAACCAGUUAUUGGUUAAGGAAAAACUCCUCAGGGAUCAGGCCAGUGGAGUUGUGAAAUCUAAAAUUCUUGCUAUAAAUGCAUUUCAACUGCUAAAACAGG